Astyanax mexicanus (Mexican tetra) is the source of this 56-nucleotide regulatory RNA element. It matches the Rfam family "UnaL2 LINE 3' element". Rfam says of the family: The eel long interspersed element (LINE) UnaL2 and its partner short interspersed element (SINE) share a conserved 3' tail containing a stem-loop that is critical for their retrotransposition. Presumably, the first step of retrotransposition is the recognition of their 3' tails by UnaL2-encoded reverse transcriptase. The solution structure of a 17-nucleotide RNA derived from the 3' tail of UnaL2 was determined by NMR. NCBI's taxonomy places the organism in Eukaryota, Metazoa, Chordata, Actinopteri, Characiformes, Acestrorhamphidae. The record is from Rfam.
UGUACACCAUUAUGCGUAAGUCGCUUUGGAUAAAAGCAUCUGCUAAAUGUAAUGUA